AGUGAACGCUGGCGGUAGGCCUAACACAUGCAAGUCGAACGGCAGCACAGUAAGAGCUUGCUCUUACGGGUGGCGAGUGGCGGACGGGUGAGGAAUACAUCGGAAUCUCCUUUUUCGUGGGGGCUAACGUAGGGAAACUUACGCUAAUACCGCAUACGACCUACGGGUGAAAGCAGGGGAUCUUCGGACCUUGCGCGAUUGAAUGAGCCGAUGUCGGAUUAGCUAGUUGGCGGGGUAAAGGCCCACCAAGGCGACGAUCCGUAGCUGGUCUGCGAGGAUGAUCAGGCACACUGGAACUGAGACACGGUCCAGACUCCUACGGGAGGCAGCAGUGGGGAAUAUUGGACAAUGGGCGCAAGCCUGAUCCAGCCAUACCGCGUGGGUGAAGAAGGCCUUCGGGUUGUAAAGCCCUUUUGUUGGGAAAGAAAAGCAGCAGGUUAAUACCCCGCUGUUCUGACGGUACCCAAAGAAUAAGCACCGGCUAACUUCGUG
RNAcentral lists this ribosomal RNA (492 nucleotides) under uncultured bacterium. RNAcentral describes it as "partial 16S ribosomal RNA". It matches the Rfam family "Bacterial small subunit ribosomal RNA", at positions 29 to 507 of the family's 1533-position model. The record is from RNAcentral.